Asterias rubens (European starfish) is the source of this 641-nucleotide long non-coding RNA. RefSeq lists it as uncharacterized. The record is from RefSeq and is a predicted model, not a curated record. The transcript is spliced from 6 exons. Lineage: Eukaryota; Metazoa; Echinodermata; Asteroidea; Forcipulatida; Asteriidae.
AUCUAGACUACUGUCACUCAUGAACGAGUCACUCUCAAGUGCCUUAUUCUCCGCCAAAUUCAGUUUUGUUACCGAGUUCUAACACGGAGGAAGAAAACGAGGACCUAAUGAGCAAUUAAAUGUAAUGUUAGUUGCAGAAACUUUAUUGUCAAAUAAAGUCUACCUCUCCAGAAGUAGAAGCUUGAUGUGGAUGCAGUCAAGAUUGGUCAUUGUCUUCUCCAUCAAAAGGUCAGUUAAAGAAAAUGGCAUUGUCAGGUGAAGGUGGCCUCUCCAAAAGUCGAUGCGUGAUGGGAGUGCAGACCGAAAGGUCCCAAAUUCAACAAUGUUUUCUCCAUCAACAGGCCAGCUGCAGACACACCAUCAUCAGAUGAAGUAUACCUCAAUUUCGGAAGUAGAUGCAUGAAGCUAUCAAGAUUCAAGGAUAUCUUCUAACAGACUUUUACAGAGACACUAUUGUUAGAUGAAGUGUACCUCUCCAGAUGUAGAUAUGUGUAUGAUGGGAAUGCUGCCUUGUACAACAAUGUAUUCUCAAGCAACAGACUUGCUACAGACAUGACGUCAGAUGAAGUUUACCUCUCCAAAAGUACAUGCAUGAUGCAAAUGCUGCCCUGAGUCAGAUGUGCCUUGUGCGCUAUGUCUAC